GGGGAUGUGGCGCAAGUGGUAGCGCGAUCGCCUGGUAUGCGUACGGCCUGGGUUCGAUCCUCAGCACCA
Molecule: transfer RNA, 69 nt
Filed under: Ictidomys tridecemlineatus (thirteen-lined ground squirrel)
Lineage: Eukaryota; Metazoa; Chordata; Mammalia; Rodentia; Sciuridae
Description: Spermophilus tridecemlineatus (thirteen-lined ground squirrel) tRNA
Rfam family: tRNA
About the family: Transfer RNA (tRNA) molecules are approximately 80 nucleotides in length. Their secondary structure includes four short double-helical elements and three loops (D, anti-codon, and T loops).
Source: Rfam by way of RNAcentral